UAGUACGGCGAGUGAGAGGGAAGAGCCCAAGAUUGAAAGCUGGCGUCUUCGGCGUCCGCAUUGUAAUCUCAAGAAGUGUUUUCCGCUUCGGACCAAGCCUAAGUCCCCUGGAAAGGGGCAUCAUAGAGGGUGAUAAUCCCGUACAUGGCUUGGAGCGCCCGAGGCUUUGUGAUACGCUUUCUAAGAGUCGAGUUGUUUGGGAAUGCAGCUCAAAAUGGGUGGUAAAUGCCAUCUAAGGCUAAAUAUUGGGGAGAGACCGAUAGCGAACAAGUACAGUGAUGGAAAGAUGAAAAGAACUUUGAAAAGAGAGUUAAACAGUACGUGAAAUUGCCAAAAGGGAAGGGUAGGAGGUCAGAGAUGCGGCCUGGGAUUCAGCCUUGCUUUUGCUUGGUGUUUUUCCCAGAUUGCAGGCCAACGUCGGUUUUGGGCACUGGAGAAGGGUAGGAGGAACGUGGCACCCCUCGGGGUGUGUUAUAGCCUCCUACUGGAUACAGCGACCGAGACCGAGGACAGCAGCGUACUCGCAAGAGCGGGCCUUCGGGCACCUUUACGCUUAGGGCGUUGGCAUAAUGGCCCUCUACCACCCGUC
This 589-nucleotide ribosomal RNA is filed under the name uncultured Pseudozyma. RNAcentral's name for it is "LSU rRNA". It matches the Rfam family "Eukaryotic large subunit ribosomal RNA", at positions 81 to 653 of the family's 3401-position model. Lineage: Eukaryota; Fungi; Basidiomycota; Ustilaginomycetes; Ustilaginales; Ustilaginaceae. The record is from RNAcentral.